GACAUUGGCUGGAGUGGCAAGGCUGAUUAUUUUUCUUAUUGCUGUGACUAAAUCCUGACCAGAACCAGUUUUUACAAAGCAGGUUUAUUUCAACGUCGAGUGUAUGAAAGAAAGCAACCUGUCCGAGUAGGGAGAGUCGAGCUGUAGGAACCUGGAGCUGUGUUCUCUACUCAUUGGAUGCAAAGAGACAGGAACGGGCAGGAGGUUUCUAGAAGACAGUGGCUCUUGAUUCAGAAGAAAGAAGAAUGCCUUCCACCACUAAGGGCACUAUCCAACUGUCUGAGAACUGGGAAAGAGCAGAAAGACAGAGUCAAGGCCAGCUUGUUGCCUUGUCCACAGCCAAUGCACUCAUCUUUACCCUUCCCUUGGACAUGGGCACGCUCAGGGAGACCAGACUUGCAGAAUCUCAGGUUUUCAACCUCAGACUGGAGAUUGUACCACAAUCCCCUAUACAUGGACAACUUCAGAACCCAGACUGAAUUCUGUCACUCUUCACACUGUUUGCCAAUCAUGAAUUUUGUUGCCACUGCAAUCACAGGACUUCACUCUCAUACUAAUUAAUUCUUUAUCUACAUCUCUCUACUUUUAAUAUACUUUCUCUUUCCAUCUCUCCUCUGUCAUCUAUAAUUUAUCAAUUAUCCACCAGUCUGCCUAUCUACAUACACCCUUUAUUCUCUGGCGUCUCACCAAUAAAAUAGCAUAGUUGUCCUUGA
Long non-coding RNA from Mus musculus (house mouse), 713 nucleotides. RefSeq annotates it as predicted gene, 39034. The record is from RefSeq and is a predicted model, not a curated record. Lineage: Eukaryota; Metazoa; Chordata; Mammalia; Rodentia; Muridae. The transcript has 2 exons.